Molecule: small RNA, 148 nt
Filed under: Pongo abelii (Sumatran orangutan)
Lineage: Eukaryota; Metazoa; Chordata; Mammalia; Primates; Hominidae
Description: Metazoan signal recognition particle RNA (ENSPPYG00000038403.1)
Source: Rfam by way of RNAcentral
GCCGGGUGUGGUAGCGGGUACCUGUAAUCCCAGCUACUUGGGAGGCUGAGGCAGAAGAAUCACUUGAACCCAGGAGGCAGAGGUUGCAGUGAACCAAGAUUGUGUCACUGCACUCCAGCCUGGGCAACACAGUGAGACUCCGUCUCCA